This 253-nucleotide ribosomal RNA is filed under the name uncultured bacterium. Its description in RNAcentral is "partial 16S ribosomal RNA". It matches the Rfam family "Bacterial small subunit ribosomal RNA", at positions 524 to 776 of the family's 1533-position model. The record is from RNAcentral.
UACGGAGGGUGCAAGCGUUACUCGAAAUUACUGGGCGUAAAGGGCGUGUAGGCGGCUUCGACAGUCAGGCGUGAAAGCCCCGGGCUUAACCUGGGAAUUGCGCUUGAUACUGUGAGGCUAGAGUUCGGGAGAGGAGAGUGGAAUUCCCAGUAUAGAGGUGAAAUUCGUAGAUAUUGGGAAGAACACCAGUGGCGAAGGCGGCUCUCUGGACCGAUACUGACGCUGAGGCGCGAAAGCGUGGGGAGCAAACAGG